Molecule: long non-coding RNA, 3857 nt
Organism: Hylaeus anthracinus
Lineage: Eukaryota; Metazoa; Arthropoda; Insecta; Hymenoptera; Colletidae
Exons: 3
Source: RefSeq, a predicted model, not a curated record
GCGAGCGAAAAGGAUUCGGUGGGGGUGAAUGCAGAGAACGGAACGGAGCACCAGGACGGGGGCACGCUGCUCUCAGGACGCGCAGAACGUCAGAGUGGGUCGAAAAGGACGGGUGUUUCUCGAUCUCUUUUGCUCCUACGGCCGACCCUCUCUCGUUUCUUUCGAUCGUUCGUCUCUCUCGCUCACACCCUCGCGGAGAGGUAGAGAAAGAGAGGCCGAUGGCGGGGCGAGAGUCGGCUUACUACGCGGUGAAACGCUACCACGGCGUUCAGUCGUCAGCGAUCAGACCGCCGGGCAGUGUGAACCUUCCUGGGCAGUCUCUUCAUCUAGUCUACCAUCGACCGUCCCUUCUCGGACACGGCGCAAUAAUCGGCAUCUGGGAAAGCCAGAGAAUCGCUUUCGAGAUGGAUUUGCCUAAUCGUCCCCGAUGAUCCUGGACCACCGCGGUCCGAGGAAACCGUCCAUCGUCGAGACUUUAUCACAAGAUAUCGCGGGACGACUCGAGUUCAGGGGCAGCGAUCGAAACGAUUAUCACCGAUUUUCGGGGAAAAUACUUCGAGCCUCCGCCGCUAUCGAAUUUCAUCAUCUGCCACGAGACCUGCCGCGAUCGACGAUGAACGCGGGCUUGCGGGAACACGGAACCCGCUCCAACCGAUCCCCGGUUCUGGCUAACAGAUGUUCGGGGAGAUCUCGGGGAGCGAGCGGUGCUCGAGGUUGGAAUAUCCGCGGGCCAAUCGCUGCGAUAGCACUUUCAAUCGCACAGAAUUCAAGAGGAAAUUGGAUACGGAGAAGUUGCCUCGACACCCGAAGAUGAUCUCGAGGAUCGUUCGAGGCGGACUUGGCCGAUCAGAAUUCACUGACUUUGGGUGAAUCCGUCUCGCUGAUCGAAUUUCACCAGUGAAUUAUCACGUCACAGUGAGACCAAUGGACGUCGACGAUCGUUCGAACGGUUUGUGCGACGUCGUGUCGAGUCACGUGGUGCUCCGAAACGCGUGAACCGAUCUUCCUCAGUCCUAGCACGUACGGUUUCUCUUGCGCGAGAUCGCGAGCAGAUCGGUGACAAAAAUGGAGCGUGGUCCCGCCACGCGUCGCCGAAGAGCCAACUCGAUGCUUGUUUGACCGUUUCUCUUCGAGUACGCGUUGCUGUUCGAUCGUUGCGUAACGAAGACCAACCGAUCACACCUCUCGUGGAAACGAACGAAUUCUUAUAGUCGCUGCGAGUGCGGGCAAGUGUAAAGCGAUGUACGAAAGAGAAACAGAUGAAAUGAAAACGAAAAAUGUGUGCUAAAUAGUGGGGGAAAAAAGCUGCGAGAUAUUUUGUACGAUGAUCGCCGAGAGACACGAUGAACCGAAGAAUAUGUUACGUUUGGACAUGUUAGCAGCCGACGGGCACUUUCGCCACCAGAUCUCAACCAAUCGCCAACGAGCAAACGAGGUGCGAAGCUCGAUAGGAAGUGUGCGUGUUUCUUAGUGGCGAUCCGGUAAGAAAUUCCGCGAGACGGACCGAAAAUCACAUUUCCAGGUGGAGUAAAGUGAUUGGCAUAAACCGAAUGCUCGGAGUCUUCGUCACGACACUCGCCUCCUGCAUCAUCUUCGGAGUCCCCGGCGAUCCUCUCGAAUUCGGUUGUUCGCCGCGAAGGUAUUAGCACGGGUCGUAAAAAGAAAGGCUAAAAGAAAGUUCGAGGGAAGACAAGAACCAAGCGAAGAGAAGAGAUUUUCGCGUCGAACGGCCACGGGGGUGAUGGGGUGGGUUACGUCAUCGAGUAGAUUCGAGGCGCCGAAGAAUUCAGCAAGACGAUACGGCCCUGCCCUCGGUGGGCAGAUAGGGUAUAAUCAUGGCGAGUUUCGUAUCUCGAAAGGGGCACACGGGAAGAUGGUCCAACAUCUGCCGCUGCAGGGAAUCUCUGCCCACAUGCUGGCCGAUCCGUACACGCACGUACGCACGCACACGCGCAAAAAGUGACAUAGCUACACGCUGGGACGUCAUGUAAAUUCAUUCGAAACACAUGGCAGGGACGAGCGGCGUUCCUCUCUUUCUCUCUCUCAUGCUCGAAAAAGGGUUCUUCGAUGGAGGAAUCCGAGGAACUGCGGGCACGCGGGGCGGGCCGGGGGGUCGGGGUAAAAAAGGCAGAUGAUAACUUUGACUUACAAGCUAGACUUCGACUUCUCUUCGUACGGGUUCGAGGGACGUAGGACCGGACCACCGGCUCGAAUAGCACUCUUGGUUACUCUACAGAUUCUUUCUUUCUCCCAGAUAACGCUGAGGCUUCUUUUCUGGGCUUUAAAAUCAUUUCUCAGAUGGGAAAGAUUCGAUGACGAUAGGGAAUGCCUAAAAUUGCCCUUCUGGGAAGGCAGGAGGUUGGAAUACCUGAUAUACUGACGACUUCGUUAAUUGGUUGAUUGUUUCUAAAAUGAUACUUUUUCGAUAGCAACUGCUGGUAAUUGUUUCAUAUCCAUUGCAGUCGAGUGAUACAAACUGCUUUUUGUAACGAUAUAUAAUUUUUGUAGAUACAAUUACGGUGUACAGUUAGCUGAAUGAUAUUUAUACUCUUUGCAAAUACCUGAUUUCUAUUGUAAUUUGCACUUUGGCUAAUAUUAGUAUUUAAUAUUGAAUUUGGGUCUGAUAUUCAAGGAACUAUAAUAUAUAUUGAACAUAUUAAUAUAUUAUAUAAAAGUAUAUGAAUGUAGUUUCAAAGUACUAUCAAGAUACAUGUACCAACAAAGAACUUGAAGAAUGUUAUUUAAAAAUAGUUUGAUUAAAAAUUCAAGCUUUUAGUCUAUGUCAAAUAUCUCUGUUAUCGUUGAUAAUGUAAAAAAGUUUGUACAAGAAACGUUAUUGCUAAUUAUGUUUCGAAACGUUUUUGUUGGGUUUACAUUUUCGAUAGAAUCGAUAUUAUUUGAGAUACCAAUCAAAUUACACCUACGUUAAUAAUCUAUAAGGUUCGGUAGCAACACGAAAAAAAAGCGAACACAAUGAAACAACUUAGGUACAUGAGGUAGUAUAACAUAAAACCAGCACAUUUGAUUACCGUUUUGGUAUAUUGCUCUAUGCUGACGUCAAGGAUUAUAUCAGUGCUAGAUUCCAUAAGAUAAUCACCGUGUACAGUGCCCACGGUUUUUCCCUUUGCGUGUACAGUUUGAUGUGUCUGUCAUUUUUGAACAAUCGUUUCUGUAUUCUUAUGUUACGUGUCAUAUUAACAGUAUUCUUUAAGGUUGUUUGAAUGUCUAAAUUAUUGACCACUCAAAUUAUCUAUAAUAAAAGGAAGAACCACUCAAGUAUAACUCGACGUUAUAAGGUAAUGGCUUAAACAAAGAUAUAAGGAAUGAUCAUCAUCAUCAAUCCACUUUUUGCAUUUUUUUCACCACUGAUUAGUUUCGAUGCACUCUCCACCGAUUGUUAGAGACGUUCGACUGAAAAUUUUCUACUAGGCAAACCCAAGAAUGCGUUACACGUUAAUCAGAACCAAGUUCAGUCGGAUUCAGCUCAUUAACGAAUUACAGUUAUAAAACUAGCGGCACUCGAUGCUAUUUUCUUCGUUAGGGGCGAUCGUUAGAUUAUGGAGGACUACAGUUACUCUCCAAUCUGACGAAAGAGAAAUUUAUUAUCGUUGCCUUGCGAAAUUUCUGAAAUUAUUGGCACGGAUCACGUGAACAAUCUUCUACGAGAAUCUGUGGGUUCGUUCCGAUUUCGUUAAUUGGUUGAUUAUUUCUAAAAUGAUACUUUUUCUCUAGCAGCUGCUUGUAAUUGUUUCAUAUCCUUUGCAGUCGAAUGAUACAAAUUGCCAUUCGUAAUGAUAUGAUAUGAUGAAUUUUUUAGAUACAAUUACAUUGUACAGUUAACCGAAUGAUAUUUAUAC